Molecule: long non-coding RNA, 390 nt
Filed under: Bemisia tabaci
Lineage: Eukaryota; Metazoa; Arthropoda; Insecta; Hemiptera; Aleyrodidae
Description: lncRNA ENSASIAIIG010144
Source: RNAcentral
AUGGAUUUGAACUCUCCAGAAGAAGAGGAUUUUCCUGGCAGGCUUUUGCAUCAGGCAGCACUAUGGGACAAUGCUGAGCUAUUAGAAGAUUUGUUAAAAGGAGAUCAAAAGAGGCAUUUGGACGGCCAGGACUCUUGGGGUCGAACUCCUCUUCAUGCAGCUGCAACCUCUGAAAAUUCCAGGUGCCUCCGAGUGCUUCUUCAGUGCGGUGCUAACCCUAACAUACCUUGCGGGCCUCGUGGAGACAACAGGGUGAGUGUAUUUUCUGGCUUCUGUACUCUUUUUUCCUAUCCAAAAUGCACGAAAAAAAUCGCAAAUUUUAUGUUGAUCUCCCAUGAAUGCAUUGACAUAUAAUACAAUCUAGACCGCGCAUUAGGAAAUUUCGGCGAG